RNAcentral lists this ribosomal RNA (497 nucleotides) under uncultured bacterium. Its description in RNAcentral is "partial 16S ribosomal RNA". It matches the Rfam family "Bacterial small subunit ribosomal RNA", at positions 28 to 507 of the family's 1533-position model. The record is from RNAcentral.
GAUGAACGCUGGCGGCGUGCCUAAUACAUGCAAGUCGAGCGAACAGACGAGGAGCUUGCUCCUCUGACGUUAGCGGCGGACGGGUGAGUAACACGUGGAUAACCUACCUAUAAGACUGGGAUAACUUCGGGAAACCGGAUCUAAUACCGGAUAAUAUAUUGAACCGCAUGGUUCAAUAGUGAAAGACGGUUUUGCUGUCACUUAUAGAUGGAUCCGCGCCGCAUUAGCUAGUUGGUAAGGUAACGGCUUACCAAGGCAACGAUGCGUAGCCGACCUGAGAGGGUGAUCGGCCACACUGGAACUGAGACACGGUCCAGACUCCUACGGGAGGCAGCAGAGGGGAAUCUUCCGCAAUGGGCGAAAGCCUGACGGAGCAACGCCGCGUGAGUGAUGAAGGUCUUCGGAUCGUAAAACUCUGUUAUUAGGGAAGAACAAAUGUGUAAGUAACUAUGCACGUCUUGACGGUACCUAAUCAGAAAGCCACGGCUAACUACGUG